GACGAACGCUGGCGGCGUGCUUAACACAUGCAAGUCGAACGGUAAGGCCCUUCGGGUACACGAGUGGCGAACGGGUGAGUAACACGUGGGUGAUCUGCCUGCACUUCGGGAUAAGCCUGGGAAACUGGGUCUAAUACCGGAUAGGGCCAUGGACUCCACGGUUUGUGGUGGAAAGCUUUUGCGGUGUGGGAUGGGCCCGCGGCCUAUCAGCUUGUUGGUGGGGUAAUGGCCCUACCAAGGCGACGACGGGUAGCCGGCCUGAGAGGGUGUCCGGCCACACUGGGGACUGAGAUACGGCCCAGAC
This 304-nucleotide ribosomal RNA is filed under the name uncultured bacterium. Its description in RNAcentral is "bacterial SSU rRNA". It matches the Rfam family "Bacterial small subunit ribosomal RNA", at positions 28 to 336 of the family's 1533-position model. The record is from RNAcentral.